UACGUAGGGAGCAAGCGUUGUCCGGAAUCAUUGGGCGUAAAGCGCGCGUAGGUGGCUUCGUAAGUCCGUUGUGAAAGUCAAAGGCUCAACCUUUGAAAGCCGAUGGAUACUGCGGAGCUAGAGUACGGAAGAGGCGAGUGGAAUUCCUGGUGUAGCGGUGGAAUGCGCAGAUAUCAGGAGGAGCACCAAUAGCGAAGGCAGCUCGCUGGGACGUUACUGACACUGAGGCGCGAAAGCGUGGGGAGCGAACAGG
This 253-nucleotide ribosomal RNA is filed under the name uncultured bacterium. Its description in RNAcentral is "partial 16S ribosomal RNA". It matches the Rfam family "Bacterial small subunit ribosomal RNA", at positions 524 to 776 of the family's 1533-position model. The record is from RNAcentral.